CUGAGCUGUUCAUUAUCUCCAGGAUCGUGAUAUAGUGGUGUUCUCACCCUGUUCAUUAUCUCCAGUAUCGUGAUAUUCUCACCCUGAGCUGUUCAUUAUCUCCAGUAUCGUGAUAUAAUGGUGUUACCUCACCCUGAGCUGUUCAUUAUCUCCAGUAUCGUGAUAUAGUGGGGUUCUCUCACCCGGAGCUGUUCAUUAUCUCCAGUAUCGUGAUAUAGUUGUGUUCUCUCACCCUGAGCUGUUCAUUAUCUCCAGUAUCGUAACAUAGUGGUGUUCUCACCCCGAGUUGUUCAUUAUCUCCAGUAUUGUGAUAUAGUGGUGUUACCUCACCCUGUUCAUUAUCUCCAGUAUUGUGAUAUAGUGGUGUUACCUCACCCUGUUCAUUAUCUCCAGUAUCGUGAUAUAGUGGUGUUACCUCACCCUGUUCAUUAUCUCCAGUAUCGUGAUAUAGUGGUGUUACCUCACCCUGUUCAUUAUCUCCAGUAUCGUGAUAUAGUGGUGUUACCUCACCCUGUUCAUUAUCUCCAGUAUCGUGAUAUAGUGGUGUUACCUCACCCUGUUCAUUAUCUCCAGUAUCGUGAUAUAGUGGUGUUACGUCACCCUGAGCUGUUCAUCAUCUCCAGUAUCGUGAUAUAGUGGUGUUACGUCACCCUAUUCAUUAUCUCCAGUAUCGUGAUAUAGUGGUGUUACCUCACCCUGUUCAUUAUCUCCAGUAUCGUGAUAUAGUGGUGUUACCUCACCCUGUUCAUUAUCUCCAGUAUCGUGAUAUAGUGGUGUUAUCUUACCCCGAGCUGUUCAUUAUCUCCAGUAUCGUGAUAUAGUGGUGUUACGUCACCCUGAGCUGUUCAUUAUCUCCAGUAUCGUGAUAUAGUGGUGUGUUCUCACCCUGUUCAUUAUCUCCAGUAUCGUGAUAUAGUGGUGUUCUCACCCUGUUCAUUAUCUCCAGUAUCGUGAUAUAGUGGUGUUCUCACCCUGUUCAUUAUCUCCAGUAUCGUGAUAUAGUGGUGUUCUCACCCUGUUCAUUAUCUCCAGUAUCGUGAUAUAGUGGUGUUCUCACCCUGUUCAUUAUCUCCAAUAUCGUGAUAUAGUGGUGUUACCUCACCCUGUUCAUUAUCUCCAGUAUUGUGAUAUAGUAGUGUUAUCUCACCCGAGCUGUUCAUUAUCUCCAGUAUCGUGAUAUAGUAGUGUUACCUCACCCUGAG
Long non-coding RNA from Oncorhynchus tshawytscha (Chinook salmon), 1202 nucleotides. Lineage: Eukaryota; Metazoa; Chordata; Actinopteri; Salmoniformes; Salmonidae. The record is from Ensembl.